This 463-nucleotide ribosomal RNA is filed under the name uncultured bacterium. Its description in RNAcentral is "partial 16S ribosomal RNA". It matches the Rfam family "Bacterial small subunit ribosomal RNA", at positions 28 to 507 of the family's 1533-position model. The record is from RNAcentral.
GAUGAACGCUGACAGAAUGCUUAACACAUGCAAGUCUUUGGCGAAGCUGUGCUUGCACAGCCUAGCCAAGGCGGACGGGUGAGUAACGCGUAAGGAACUUGCCCUGCAGUCAGGGAUAACAGACGGAAACGACUGAUAAGACCUGGUAAAGUCAGGCGGACUCAUGUCCAGCCUGAUGAAAAGGGAUGCUGCAGGAGAGCCUUGCGUCCUAUUAGCUUGUUGGUGGGGUAACGGCCCACCAAGGCGAUGAUAGGUAGCCGGCCUGAGAGGGUGGACGGCCACUAGGGGACUGAGAUGCGGCCCUUACUCCUGCGGGAGGCAGCAGUGGGGAAUAUUGGACAAUGGGGGCACCCCUGAUCCAGCAAUUCUGUGUGCACGAUGAAGGUUUUCGGAUUGUAAAGUGCUUUCAGCAGGGAAGAAAAAAAUGACGGUACCGGCAGAAGAAGCGACGGCUAACUACGUG